Molecule: ribosomal RNA, 292 nt
Filed under: uncultured bacterium
Lineage: Bacteria
Description: partial 16S ribosomal RNA
Rfam family: Bacterial small subunit ribosomal RNA
Source: RNAcentral
GGAUUAGAUACCCUGGUAGUCCACACCGUAAACGCUGUCUACUAGCUGUCUGUGUAUUUAAUACGUGGGUAGCGUAGCUAACGCGCUAAGUAGACCGCCUGGGGAGUACGGCCGCAAGGUUAAAACUCAAAUGAAUUGACGGGGGCCCGCACAAGCGGUGGAGCAUGUGGUUUAAUUCGAUGCAACGCGAAGAACCUUACCAGGACUUGACAUCCUACUAGUUACCAGAGAUGGUUUCGUGCCUUCGGGAAAGUAGUGACAGGUGCUGCAUGGCUGUCGUCAGCUCGUGCUG